RNAcentral lists this ribosomal RNA (660 nucleotides) under Erwinia sp. JSM 082100. RNAcentral describes it as "bacterial SSU rRNA". It matches the Rfam family "Bacterial small subunit ribosomal RNA", at positions 56 to 707 of the family's 1533-position model. Lineage: Bacteria; Pseudomonadati; Pseudomonadota; Gammaproteobacteria; Enterobacterales; Erwiniaceae. The record is from RNAcentral.
UGCAAGUCGAACGGUAGCACAGAGAGCUUGCUCUCGGGUGACGAGUGGCGGACGGGUGAGUAAUGCCUGGGAAACUGCCCGAUGGAGGGGGAUAACUACUGGAAACGGUAGCUAAUACCGCAUAACGUCUUCGGACCAAAGUGGGGGACCUUCGGGCCUCACACCAUCGGAUGUGCCCAGGUGGGAUUAGCUAGUAGGUGGGGUAAUGGCUCACCUAGGCGACGAUCCCUAGCUGGUCUGAGAGGAUGACCAGCCACACUGGAACUGAGACACGGUCCAGACUCCUACGGGAGGCAGCAGUGGGGAAUAUUGCACAAUGGGCGCAAGCCUGAUGCAGCCAUGCCGCGUGUAUGAAGAAGGCCUUCGGGUUGUAAAGUACUUUCAGCGGGGAGGAAGGCGGUGAAGUUAAUAGCUUCAUCGAUUGACGUUACCCGCAGAAGAAGCACCGGCUAACUCCGUGCCAGCAGCCGCGGUAAUACGGAGGGUGCAAGCGUUAAUCGGAAUUACUGGGCGUAAAGCGCACGCAGGCGGUCUGUCAAGUCGGAUGUGAAAUCCCCGGGCUUAACCUGGGAACUGCAUUCGAAACUGGCAGGCUAGAGUCUUGUAGAGGGGGGUAGAAUUCCAGGUGUAGCGGUGAAAUGCGUAGAGAUCUGGAGGAAU